AUUGAACGCUGGCGGCAUGCCUUACACAUGCAAGUCGAACGGCAGCACGGGGCAACCUGGUGGCGAGUGGCGAACGGGUGAGUAAUGCAUCGGAACGUACCUUUCAGUGGGGGAUAACGUAGCGAAAGUUACGCUAAUACCGCAUAUUCUGUGAGCAGGAAAGCAGGGGAUCGCAAGACCUUGCGCUGAUUGGACGGCCGGUGUCAGAUUAGCUAGUUGGUGAGGUAAAGGCUCACCAAGGCGACGAUCUGUAGCGGGUCUGAGAGGAUGAUCCGCCACACUGGAACUGAGACACGGUCCAGACUCCUACGGGAGGCAGCAGUGGGGAAUUUUGGACAAUGGGGGCAACCCUGAUCCAGCCAUGCCGCGUGAGUGAAGAAGGCCUUCGGGUUGUAAAGCUCUUUCGGCCGGGAAGAAAUCGCACGGGCUAAUACCCUGUGUGGAUGACGGUACCGGAAUAAGAAGCACCGGCUAACUACGUGCCAGCAGCCGCGGUAA
This 498-nucleotide ribosomal RNA is filed under the name uncultured bacterium. Its description in RNAcentral is "partial 16S ribosomal RNA". It matches the Rfam family "Bacterial small subunit ribosomal RNA", at positions 30 to 523 of the family's 1533-position model. The record is from RNAcentral.